GAAUGAGGCGUCUGUCUAACUACUGGGUCCAGGGUUAAUUCAGCUGAUCUGGCUGGUUAAGUGCGUUUCCUCUUCCAUGAUCACUGUUCCAAUGCUCUGUUUAGUCAAAGAGGAUCACCUUCUAGGACUAGAGAGGACCAGUCUUUAGUCAAAGGCAUAUAAGCAGCUGUAUUCUCCUGCUAGGAUCUCCAAACAAAUUCUCAAACAAGUGCCAUUACACUGAAGGCAGAACAACAGCAAGUCUAAUGAAUUUAAAAAGGACAAAGACAGCAAAAGCUAGAUUAUUCCAAUAUAUUUU
This 298-nucleotide small nuclear RNA is filed under the name Mus spretus (western wild mouse). RNAcentral's name for it is "predicted gene, 54472 (ENSMSPG00010008449.1)". The stretch from base 1 to 252 matches the Rfam family "7SK RNA". From Rfam's summary of the family: 7SK was discovered as an abundant small nuclear RNA in the mid-70s but a possible function has only recently been suggested. Lineage: Eukaryota; Metazoa; Chordata; Mammalia; Rodentia; Muridae. The record is from RNAcentral.